Molecule: long non-coding RNA, 986 nt
Organism: Galleria mellonella (greater wax moth)
Lineage: Eukaryota; Metazoa; Arthropoda; Insecta; Lepidoptera; Pyralidae
Exons: 3
Source: RefSeq, a predicted model, not a curated record
UCGAGUAUCAUAAAUAAAGUUGAGGUUUUGUUACAACUCUAGAAGGUUUAAUGUUAUCAGUUCCAGUAACUAUACGGAAUAACGUAGACCUAGCAAAGUUAUUCAUGUAACAAAUAACCUAAAAGUUUUUAGGUUGGAGCAUUUAUUUAAUACCUACUAGUGCUGUUCGUGGCCGAAAUUGGACCAAUUAUCAUGUGUGGAUUUUUGGGCUAUUUUACCCUAUUUGGAAUCAAGCUGACGCCUAUCUAAUGAAACUGCAUAAGAAAAAAUAUACUUCCUUACUGAGAGCCAUCGUGUGGAAAGAUAAAUUAUUAAUAUAUCCACAAUUGCGCAGUUCGAUAAGAACGUCGGAUGUAAGGAUAGUAAAAUAGAUAUACAAUGCGGAUGCGAAUAGCAGGUAUCGGUGGGGGAGAGCGACCUAUCACGAUCAGAGAAAGUAAAUAAAGCAGGGAUUCUCAAAUUGUACGACGCAGUUGGAUGCAGGGUAGGAUGUAGGGUGAAGAACAAACAAGAGUGCCGCGAAGUGGCCCAUUCACCGGAAACUGUGUACUAUCAUAAAAGAAAUGAAAACAUUACUGUACUAUAUUUCUGAUAUUGUACAUAUAUUUGAAAUAAACAGUCUAAAUGAAAUACCAGAUCGUAAGUAAGAGUGUUCUCUAAACUUUGACAACACUAAACAUGUAAGUGUGCCACAAACUAAGAAACUUUUGAAACCCUUGAAUAUAAAGUCUACCUACUGUUGAAUAAAAUUCUUGAUGAAUCAGGAAAGUGAGUGAAAUCUAAAAAUAGAAUAAGAGGUAAAAGGCUACACUUAACGCCCGACCAUUCAACAGACAGCGGGGCUCUCGUUGUAAAAAAAGAACAAAAAAUACUGAACAGAGUGAGCGUUCACGCAUCCAGGGUUCUAUAUCUGCGGAGCAAAGAGGACAUACCAAAAGAAGGGUAUUAUAAAUUUGCCACUAAAUUAAUAAUCUUCACUAAACACA